RNAcentral lists this ribosomal RNA (425 nucleotides) under uncultured bacterium. Its description in RNAcentral is "partial 16S ribosomal RNA". It matches the Rfam family "Bacterial small subunit ribosomal RNA", at positions 354 to 796 of the family's 1533-position model. The record is from RNAcentral.
GUUAGGAAUAUUGGACAAUGGGCGAAAGCCUGAUCCAGCCAUGCCGCGUGAACGAUGAAGGCCUUCGGGUUGUAAAGUUCUUUAGCCGAUGAUUAUAAUGACUGUAGUCGGAAAAUAAGCCCCGGCUAACUUCGUGCCAGCAGCCGCGGUAAUACGAAGGGGGCGAGCGUUAUUCGGAAUCACUGGGCGUAAAGCGUGCGUAGGCGGUUUUGUAAGUUAGGAGUGAAAGCCCAGGGCUCAACCUUGGAAUUGCUCUUAAAACUGCAAGGCUCGAAUCUCGGAGAGGAUAGCGGAAUUUCCAGUGUAGCAGUGAGAUGCGUAGAUAUUGGAAGGAACACCAGUGGCGUAAGCGGCUAUCUGGACGAGUAUUGACGCUGAGGCACGAAAGCGUGGGGAUCAAACAGGAUUAGAUACCCGGGUAGUCC